AACAGUGGAUGGAAUCAAUGAUCCUCAAGCAUUGGAGCCCAUAACACCGAACCAUCUCAUUAUGAUGAAAUCUAAGAUUGCUCUUCCUCCCCCUGGAGUGUUUGUCAAAGAGGACCUAUAUGCCACAAAGAGGUGGAGGAGAGUCCAGUAUCUCAUUGAACAAUUCUGGAGUCGCUGGAAAAGAGAAUAUUUAUUGAACAUUUCCAUGAGACAGAAAUGGCACUCAGCUCAGCGCAACCUGAAAAAAGAGGACAUUGUCAUUAUCAAAGAUGAUAACCUUCCAAGGAAUCAGUGGCAACUAGGUCGAGUGGUUGAAACUGUUCAAGGCAGUGAUGGCUUGGUCCGUCGAGUCAAAGUUCAAGUUGGAGAGCGAAAGUCAAAUUCCUCUUCUAAACCCUCAGUUAUUGAGAGGCCAAUCCAGAAAUUGGUUCUUCUUUUGGAAAAUUAAUGAGAACAGAAGAACAACUUUUGUACAGUUCAUUUACUUCCUGAUAGUUUAUGCAAACAUAUUCAUUUAGUAGAGUCAGGAAAUCCUGUUCAAUUGAUUUACCCUUUAUAUGUUACUUUGUUCUUUCAUUGUGACAGGAUUUGGUGGGAGUGUAAAUGGCUACUAAAUGUUAAAAUUCUCCUUCUUGUUCAUUAGUCAAACAGUGACACCUUGUGGUUAAUUUGUGCUUUUAUUUUGAAUAACGCUAGACUUCUUCUUCGUGUGUUUUGUGGUUCUGCACUUCCUGUUCUUGCUAAGCGUGAUGAGUCAGCGUUAGAUCCUGAAGAAAGCUAAAGAAAAUCGUUAAAAUAGCGCCCUUGGAAAGCAGAAUGAGUUUUCACGGUGUCUAAAGAUUAAACUGCACCCGUUUGGAACUCCCUGCGUCUGGCUGUUUAUUCCAAGUGGCCGCUACAAACACCACC
This is a long non-coding RNA of Gambusia affinis (western mosquitofish), 909 nucleotides long. RefSeq lists it as uncharacterized. The record is from RefSeq and is a predicted model, not a curated record. NCBI's taxonomy places the organism in Eukaryota, Metazoa, Chordata, Actinopteri, Cyprinodontiformes, Poeciliidae. The transcript has 2 exons.